Non-coding RNA from Podarcis lilfordi (Lilford's wall lizard), 88 nucleotides. The record is from the annotation of a GenBank genome assembly. Lineage: Eukaryota; Metazoa; Chordata; Lepidosauria; Squamata; Lacertidae.
GCUGUGGUUCAGUGGUAGAACAUCUGCUUUCCAUGCAGAAGAUCCCAAAUAGGACCAGAGGCCCUCCCUGAAACCCUGGGCAGAUGCU